GGUCCGGGGUGUCGCGGGUGAUGCCGGCCGCCUGCAGGGCGACCGAGUUCACCACGGACAUGUGGCCGCUGGCGUUCCGGAUCAUCACCGGGUGGCC
This 97-nucleotide transfer RNA is filed under the name Nakamurella endophytica. RNAcentral describes it as "tRNA-Cys". Lineage: Bacteria; Bacillati; Actinomycetota; Actinomycetes; Nakamurellales; Nakamurellaceae. The record is from RNAcentral.